RNAcentral lists this ribosomal RNA (440 nucleotides) under Clostridioides difficile. Its description in RNAcentral is "bacterial LSU rRNA". It matches the Rfam family "Bacterial large subunit ribosomal RNA", at positions 147 to 591 of the family's 2925-position model. The record is from RNAcentral. Lineage: Bacteria; Bacillati; Bacillota; Clostridia; Peptostreptococcales; Peptostreptococcaceae.
AGUAUCAUUAAGUGAAUACAUAGCUUAAUGAGGGGAACUCAGGGAACUGAAACAUCUAAGUACCUGAAGGAAGAGAAAGAAAUUCGAUUCCGUAAGUAGCGGCGAGCGAACGCGGAUUAGCCCAAACCAAUAAAGUUUUCUUUAUUGGGGUUGAGGACAUACCACAUAUAAGAGGUCAUUAUAGACGAAGAAGUUUGGAAAAACUCAUCAUAGAAGGUAAUAAUCCUGUAGUCAAAAUAAUAAUUCUUUAGGUAUGAUCCAGAGUACCACGGGACACGUGAAACCCUGUGGGAAGCAGGAGGGACCACCCUCCAAGGCUAAAUACUACCUAGUGACCGAUAGCGUAUAGUACCGUGAGGGAAAGGUGAAAAGAACCCCGGGAGGGGAGUGAAAUAGAACCUGAAACCCUGCACUUACAAGCUGUGGAAGCACAUUUCUUG